AGUUAUUGGGGUGUGUGGGCAUAUUAGAUUUUCGUUCUAAGGGUGUAGAGUGUUUCUACCUAUAAUU
This 67-nucleotide transfer RNA is filed under the name Nacella clypeater. RNAcentral's name for it is "tRNA-Glu". Lineage: Eukaryota; Metazoa; Mollusca; Gastropoda; Nacellidae. The record is from RNAcentral.